Clupea harengus (Atlantic herring) is the source of this 436-nucleotide long non-coding RNA. RefSeq lists it as uncharacterized. NCBI's taxonomy places the organism in Eukaryota, Metazoa, Chordata, Actinopteri, Clupeiformes, Clupeidae. The record is from RefSeq and is a predicted model, not a curated record. The transcript has 3 exons.
ACGCUGUUCAAACGGUAGCAAUAGGAAAGAAGUGGAAUACAUGAGAAGCACAUGCACAGGGUGCAUUAGAGUACAGGGAUAUGAUUGGGCAGAUACAGGGAGCAUUACAUCAUAGGGAUAUGAUUGGUCAGGUACAGAGUGCAUUACAUCAUAGGGAUAUGAUUGGGCAGGUAUAGAGUGAAUUAGAGUAUAGGGAUAUGAUUGGGCAGGUAUAGAGUGAAUUAGAGUAUAGGGAUAUGAUUGGGCAGGUAUAGAGUGAAUUAGAGUAUAGGGAUAUGAUUGGGCAGGUAUAGAGUGCAUUAGGGAUAUGAUUGGGCAGGUAUAGAGUGAAUUAGAGUAUGGGGAUAUGAUUGGGCAGGUACAGAGUGAAUUAGAGUAUAGGGAUAUGAUUGGGCAGGUACAGAGUGAAUUAGAGUUUAGGGAUAUGAUUGGGCAG